GCUGGCGUAGCUCAACUGGUAGAGCAGUUGAUUUGUAAUCAACCGGUUGCGGGUUCAAGUCCUGUCGCCAGCU
RNAcentral lists this transfer RNA (73 nucleotides) under bacterium. RNAcentral's name for it is "tRNA-Thr". It matches the Rfam family "tRNA". From Rfam's summary of the family: Transfer RNA (tRNA) molecules are approximately 80 nucleotides in length. Their secondary structure includes four short double-helical elements and three loops (D, anti-codon, and T loops). Further hydrogen bonds mediate the characteristic L-shaped molecular structure. tRNAs have two regions of fundamental functional importance: the anti-codon, which is responsible for specific mRNA codon recognition, and the 3' end, to which the tRNAs corresponding amino acid is attached (by aminoacyl-tRNA synthetases). tRNAs cope with the degeneracy of the genetic code in two manners: having more than one tRNA (with a specific anti-codon) for a particular amino acid; and 'wobble' base-pairing, i.e. permitting non-standard base-pairing at the 3rd anti-codon position. RNAcentral also lists the same sequence under 4 other names. The record is from RNAcentral.